UAAGGGCUCACCAAGGCGACGAUCCCUAGCUGGUCUGAGAGGAUGAUCAGCCACACUGGAACUGAGACACGGUCCAGACUCCUACGGGAGGCAGCAGUGGGGAAUAUUGCACAAUGGGCGCAAGCCUGAUGCAGCCAUGCCGCGUGUAUGAAGAAGGCCUUCGGGUUGUAAAGUACUUUCAGCAGUGAGGAAGGUGGUGAUGUUAAUAGCAUCAUCAUUUGACGUUAGCUGCAGAAGAAGCACCGGCUAACUCCGUGCCAGCAGCCGCGGUAAUACGGAGGGUGCGAGCGUUAAUCGGAAUUACUGGGCGUAAAGCGCAUGCAGGUGGUUUGUUAAGUCAGAUGUGAAAGCCCGGGGCUCAACCUCGGAAUUGCAUUUGAAACUGGCAGACUAGAGUACUGUAGAGGGGGGUAGAAUUUCAGGUGU
This 426-nucleotide ribosomal RNA is filed under the name Vibrio sinaloensis. Its description in RNAcentral is "bacterial SSU rRNA". It matches the Rfam family "Bacterial small subunit ribosomal RNA", at positions 258 to 676 of the family's 1533-position model. The record is from RNAcentral. Lineage: Bacteria; Pseudomonadati; Pseudomonadota; Gammaproteobacteria; Vibrionales; Vibrionaceae.